RNAcentral lists this transfer RNA (75 nucleotides) under Mus musculus (house mouse). RNAcentral describes it as "tRNA-Ser". Lineage: Eukaryota; Metazoa; Chordata; Mammalia; Rodentia; Muridae. The record is from RNAcentral.
GGCUGGCGAGAUGGCUCAGUGGUUAAGAGCGCCAACUGCUCAUCUGAAGGUCCUGAGUUCAAAUCCCAGCAACCA